Molecule: ribosomal RNA, 229 nt
Filed under: uncultured bacterium
Lineage: Bacteria
Description: partial 16S ribosomal RNA
Rfam family: Bacterial small subunit ribosomal RNA
Source: RNAcentral
CAUGUAGGUGGCCUCUUAAGUCGAUUGUGAAAUCCCUUGGCUUAACCAAGGAACUGCAAUCGAUACUGAAAGGCUUGAGUGCAGAAGAGGAAAGCGGAAUUCCCGGUGUAAGAGUGAAAUCUGUAGAGAUCGGGAGGAACACCAGUGGCGAAGGCGGCUUUCUGGUCUGCAACUGACACUGAAAUGCGAAAGCUAGGGGAGCAAACAGGAUUAGAUACCCUGGUAGUCC